Molecule: long non-coding RNA, 1518 nt
Filed under: Rattus norvegicus (Norway rat)
Lineage: Eukaryota; Metazoa; Chordata; Mammalia; Rodentia; Muridae
Description: long non-coding RNA NONRATT002498
Source: RNAcentral
GCUUUGCCAUGGAGGAUUGAUUGUACGUGGGCUGUCAGCUCAGUAAAGGCAGGCAGCUGCAGGGGUCAAGCAGAAGUAGCAGAGAAGGCCUACCCUUUGCACACCAGUACUUCUGGGGCCAGCAAUUGCUCCACAGAAGCCCCCCUCUGGCCCUCAUCCCUAACCUGGCAGAUUUCCCACACCAUAACCCCUAGUACAUUCAGGUCCCCUCUCCCGUGAAUCUUUUCCAUCUCAGUUGGGAGUCGCUCUGGAAAGAUCAGUAUUGUUUUGGGUACUUCCCCACGGAAAAGAGAGGUGCCACAGCCUCUCUACCCUAAGUAGAGACACUAGGUUCUGCUGUCCUGGAUAGGAGAACCAAGGUUUCAGAGCCAAUACAGUCUCAAUGGUUCAUGGGCUUAGGACCCAUAUCUGGCCCUAAGCACCUGGGAAUGUGCACUUGAACCAUUCUUCAUUACCCAGACUUGGGUGGCCUUGUAGGGAUUCAAGGGAUUAAUAUUUGUGUCACUUCCUUUAACUUAUUAACUAUUUAUUGUAUCCGGAACCUGUGAUUCAGCUCCCUGAAGCAGACCCUGGGAUGGGUGAGAGAAAAUGGGAAGAAGGGGGUGUUCUUCCCAUCCCCAUUCUUCCCAGUUCUCAUCAAUGUCAGACCCACCAGAGCUGAGGGCGGAGGGACUGGGGGCUGGGGCAGCCUGGGUCCCCAUCCCUUCUUUGUGCCUCGGUCUCCCCCCUUCCAUGGUAAGCGGGGGAAGCUCCAUUCUUAACCUACCUCGUUUUGGGAAGGGGUGGGGAGGGGGACCAGAGUGCUGUAUGGUGCUGUGAGAUCUUCAGAUUAAGCAGUGGGGACUUGGGGAAGGUUCCCUAGUCCCCCAUCUCCCAGUACCCCCUCUCCCAGGUCCCCCAGCCCUGUUCCUUGUCGAUACCCACCUCUGAUCCAUGAUUACCUUCCAUUGCCCCCAUAUCUGGGGUGCAUAGAGGACUGAACUCUGGGGGCCAGGAAGUCCUCAGAUCCUGGAGCUCCUGACCCCAAUUUUCCAGCUGCUUGCCCCUCAGAUUGGAUGCUUGCCCCCCAGAUUUUGGGGGAGGUAUGCCAACAUUUAUCUUCCUGAUCUUGAUUCCCAGCCAGUUUGUGACUUUGUCAGUGGCAGGGCAGGCUGAAGUGGAAGGAGGAUGGGGGGGCCAAAGAUCCAGCCUUGUCAUUGGGGGAGGGGGGCUUGAGAUCUGCUCCAAGAAAUGUCUGUGACCGUGUCUCAGCCUGGUCUUUAUUCGUGUUGGCGCGCCCUGUGCCCUUUUUUACCCGAAGGGCUUGACUUUACUCCUCUUCCCCUAUACAUCCUUCAGUCCCAAACUGGUCACACAGCUGGGUUUAUCUGUCCAGUCAAGUACAUUUACUAAACCCCUAAUGUGUCAGGCCCCCUUGUGACUGGUGGCGACACAGUGAACAACGGGAGGGGAGGGGUUCCAUGGGUGUGUGUAGGGGUCAACCAGCACCAGCUAUUAAGGUAGGAAUUGUGGCUGCUA